GAUGAACGCUGGCGGCGUGCCUAAUACAUGCAAGUCGAGCGAACGGACGAGAAGCUUGCUUCUCUGAUGUUAGCGGCGAACGGGUGAGUAACACGUGGAUAACCUACCUAUAAGACUGGGAUAACUUCGGGAAACCGGAGCUAAUACCGGAAAAUAUUUUGAACCGAAUGGUUCAAAAGUGAAAGACGGUCUUGCUGUCACUUAUAGAUGGAUCCGCGCUGCAUUAGCUAGUUGGUAAGGUAACGGCUUACCAAGGCAACGAUGCAUAGCCGACCUGAGAGGGUGAUCGGCCACACUGGAACUGAGACACGGUCCAGACUCCUACGGGAGGCAGCAGUAGGGAAUCUUCCGCAAUGGGCGAAAGCCUGACGGAGCAACGCCGCGUGAGUGAUGAAGGUCUUCGGAUCGUAAAACUCUGUUAUUAGGGAAGAACAUAUGUGUAAGUAACUGUGCACAUCUUGACGGUACCUAAUCAGAAAGCCACGGCUAACUACGUG
This 497-nucleotide ribosomal RNA is filed under the name uncultured bacterium. Its description in RNAcentral is "partial 16S ribosomal RNA". It matches the Rfam family "Bacterial small subunit ribosomal RNA", at positions 28 to 507 of the family's 1533-position model. The record is from RNAcentral.